Molecule: ribosomal RNA, 431 nt
Filed under: uncultured bacterium
Lineage: Bacteria
Description: partial 16S ribosomal RNA
Rfam family: Bacterial small subunit ribosomal RNA
Source: RNAcentral
AACGAACGCUGGCGGCAGGCUUAACACAUGCAAGUCGAGCGCCCCGCAAGGGGAGCGGCCGCCGGGUGAGUAGCGCGUGGGAACGUACCUUUUGGUUCGGAACAACUCCGGGAAACUGGAGCUAAUACCGGAUAAGCCCUAACGGGGAAAGAUUUAUCGCCGAAAGAUCGGCCCGCGUCUGAUUAGCUAGUUGGUGAGGUAACGGCUCACCAAGGCGACGAUCAGUAGCUGGUCUGAGAGGAUGAUCAGCCACACUGGGACUGAGACACGGCCCAGACUCCUACGGGAGGCAGCAGUGGGGAAUAUUGGACAAUGGGCGCAAGCCUGAUCCAGCCAUGCCGCGUGAGUGAUGAAGGCCUUAGGGUUGUAAAGCUCUUUUGUCCGGGAAGAUAAUGACUGUACCGGAAGAAUAAGCCCCGGCUAACUUCGUG